AACGAACGCUGGCGGCAUGCCUAACACAUGCAAGUCGUGCGAGAAAGUUCCUUCGGGAGCGAGUAAAGCGGCGCACGGGUGAGUAACACGUAGGUAACCUGCCCCCCAGUCUGGAACAACUAGAGGAAACUCUAGCUAAUGCCGGAUGAGACCACGAUCCCUUCGGGGGUUGCGGCCAAAGAUGGCCUCUACUUGUAAGCUAUCGCUGAGGGAUGGGCCUGCGGGCCAUUAGCUUGUUGGUGAGGUAACGGCUCACCAAGGCUGUGAUGGCUAGCUGGUCUGAGAGGAUGACCAGCCACACUGGGACUGAGACACGGCCCAGACUCCUACGGGAGGCAGCAGUGGGGAAUAUUGCGCAAUGGGCGAAAGCCUGACGCAGCGACGCCGCGUGGGUGA
This 396-nucleotide ribosomal RNA is filed under the name uncultured bacterium. Its description in RNAcentral is "bacterial SSU rRNA". It matches the Rfam family "Bacterial small subunit ribosomal RNA", at positions 29 to 408 of the family's 1533-position model. The record is from RNAcentral.